Non-coding RNA from Triticum urartu, 136 nucleotides. The record is from Rfam. Lineage: Eukaryota; Viridiplantae; Streptophyta; Magnoliopsida; Poales; Poaceae.
UUUGUACUCCCUCCAUUCCAAAAUACUUGACUUCCAUUUGUCCAAAAAUGGAUGUACCUAUAUACUAAGACAUGUCUAGAUACAUAUAUAUUUUGACAAAUAGAAGGCAUGUAUUGUGCAACGGAGGGAGUAGAAU